Molecule: transfer RNA, 78 nt
Filed under: Candidatus Goldiibacteriota bacterium
Lineage: Bacteria; Candidatus Goldiibacteriota
Description: tRNA-Asp
Rfam family: tRNA
About the family: Transfer RNA (tRNA) molecules are approximately 80 nucleotides in length. Their secondary structure includes four short double-helical elements and three loops (D, anti-codon, and T loops).
Source: RNAcentral
GGGGGUGUAGCUCAGUUGGUUUAGAGCGUCUGCCUGUCACGCAGAAGGCCGCGAGUUCAAGUCUCGUCACUCCCGCCA